GCCUGGCGUGCUGCGAUUCAUGGGGUCGCAAAAAGUCGAACACGACUGAGCAACUGGACUGACUGACUGAGCCUCAAAAAUCGUGGAGCAUCACUUGUGUCAUAUUCCUUUAGCUGAAAGUGAGUCACAGGGCUGGCCAGGGUUUAAAGGGGGCUUCUGCACUGGAGCAUGGGCGCUGAAAUUCAGCCAGAGACUCAUCACCCAUUCCUUGAAUAGGGUCCAGUCCAUAUAUCUUCCCUAGGCCUAAUUCUGUACCAGUCAGUGAUCAAUAAGGGAAAUGGAACCACAAUGAGGGGUUAUAGGACUAGGGGAUUUAUUGUAGGGAACAGACAUUAUGUAGUUCUGGCAGCUGGUGAAUAAAUUUUGACGAGGCUGCCACCUCUCUGUCUGGUGGUGGUCUGAAGUUGUGGUCAGCUGUUAUAAAGAAAAGCUGGACCCAAAGCAGAGGAGAAUGAAAGGUUUGAACAUGAGAGGAUGGACAUACCAGACCCAUGAGGACAACUUCUGUCUCUCAUUUCCUCCAACCUUGACAAUGCUUCUUCUUUCUAGAAGAAGCAGUGAGUCAGACUGAGGAGAAGGAGAGACAGGAGGAGGUGGUGGAGCUGAGUGUCCUGUCUCUGCCCCUCCCCAGCAAGAUGAGACAGCAGAUUAGUGACGGUGUUCACAACCUCCAGGGACACCUGGUGCCCACUCGACCUUCAGAGCUUCCCAUCUGCAGCUUUUCCUCAGCCCUUCAGAUCUCACGCACAGUUCUCUCUUGGCCAUGUCUAAACCAGAAACACACAGUCAAGGGAUUCUGGGAAAUGUGAUUCUAACUGUUUUGUUGACAUUAGUACAGACCUCCGUAAAGUUCUGUGCCGUGUGCUCAGUGGUGUCUGACUCUUUGAGACCCGUGGACUGUAGCCCACCAGGCUCCUCUGUCUAUGGGAUUCUCCGGCCAAGAAUACUGGAGUGGGUUGCCGUUUCCUUAUCCAGGGGAUCUUCCUGACCCAGGGAUCGAACCCGGGUCCCCUGUGUCCCCUGCACUGGCAGACAGGUUCUUUACCACUAGCGCCCCUUGGGAAGUCCCCCGUAAAGUUCUUCCAUCCUCCAAUAAUACAAAACACUUCCUAUGCUUGCCUGUGUGAAUAUCUGCAUUUCACAGCUGGGGUGGACAUAAAUGGAUUUUGGCAAGGAAAUAAAAAAGCCUUCUGUGGAGAUAUUAUUAAUACACAGUUACCUGGGAGAGUCUCUUUCUUAUUUAGAUACUUACUGAUCUUUGAUUAUUUCUUUUUUUUUUCUUUUACAGCAACUGGUAUGACACAUUUCUGCAUAAAGUGCCUCUUCAGGGCCCCUGUGGAAUCUCGACGUUCACAUUUAGACCCAGCUGCGUUCAUAUCUGGCCAUAAUUCACACAGAAGAAAGGUGAUGAAGUUAAUAUCAUUAACACAGGUAAGAGGUAAAAUGAUAGUAGGAAAAUUUUAA
Molecule: long non-coding RNA, 1464 nt
Filed under: Capra hircus (goat)
Lineage: Eukaryota; Metazoa; Chordata; Mammalia; Artiodactyla; Bovidae
Description: lncRNA (ENSCHIG00010014158.1)
Source: RNAcentral